CUCCUUAGAUAUUGAGACACAGAAAUGCUGCACAUAAUAAAGCUGAAGUAUGUAACUUUUAUAAAAAAAGAUAUUUAUGAGACAGUUAAUCUCUGAUAAUCUCCCAGUGCUAACUAGAAAUAACCAAUCAAUGAGUCUUUUGCAUGCCAGAAAAAAUCUUUUGCGCUCUUUUGGAAAAGAGCAGUUAGUCCGAGUGCCGCAUUUUGGAUUAGACAAAUGUUAGCGACAGAAAGGGAAGCAAUAAAAAUUUGCAGAGGUGUGGUUUUCAUUUUAUUCAUUUGUUAAAGAUACAAAACUCAGAUGAAGAAAAUUAAAUAUAGAUUUGUGUGACUCUGGAAAAUAAGAUUAAAGAAACUGUUGGUGUGUGGAAAUAAAAUUGGGAUUUUUCUUGUGUUUUUUCCUCUUUUUGUUAGCCUUUUUAUCUGUUUGGUCAUUUAUUUCUGAUCUAAAUGUUUGAAUCAGAUGUUUAAUCAUUUACGAGCCAUUAGAACUCAUGCAAACUUGGACUAUGUGUGUGAAUUAUAUCUCUAUUGUUAUUAAGAAUAUAACAAAUGUAUGAAUAUUUCCUAUAAAAAUUCAAAUAAAAAAUGUUUUAAAAAAGAAACAACCAAUCAUAGCCAGGAGGCGGGUCUUAGCGCUGUCAAUCAUUCUCCAUGUGGCGCUGAUCUCUGCAGAACUUAUUGUGAAUCCUAAGACUAGUUAGCAUAGCCACUAAUGACAGCAGAUUAACAGUUUUUCUGUAACCAUCUGUGCAUGAGCAUGAUUGACAGCAUUAAGCUCCUCCUCCUGGCUCUGAUUGGUUGUUUUUGGUCAGGAGCAUAUAGCAAUAGGAUGGGAGGAUGUGGAAGAGAUCGAUAUGUUCACAGAUUAUCUGGUUCAUAUUAACCCUUCCAGGCCGUACGCGUCAGUGACAACGCAGACAAAUUUGCAGUACCGUAAUUCUACCACACUUUGCGCUAUCUGAAAAAUUCCAACGGUUUCUGAAAGGGGAGACGUUGCGCUUUCCAGCUGAUAUCGUGUUAUUAUUGUAAUUUCACUCCCGCCGUAGCAGGUAUUGAAACUAAUAUGAGGGGCAUGCUUUUAAUAGACGGUAAAUUGCGAAAAUAACUUGCUUGAUAUUGAAAGUUCCAUUUGUUAUGGCUUAAUAA
Xiphophorus couchianus (Monterrey platyfish) is the source of this 1148-nucleotide long non-coding RNA. RefSeq lists it as uncharacterized. Lineage: Eukaryota; Metazoa; Chordata; Actinopteri; Cyprinodontiformes; Poeciliidae. The transcript is spliced from 3 exons. The record is from RefSeq and is a predicted model, not a curated record.